CCUACGGGAGACAGCAGUGGGGGAUAUUGGACAAUGGGGGAAACCCUGAUCCAGCGACGCCGCGUGAGUGCAGAAGUAUUUCGGUAUGUAAAGCUCUGUCAGCAGGGAAGAAAGAAAUGACGGUACCUGACCAAGAAGCCCCGGCUAACUACGUGCCAGCAGCCGAGGUAAUACGUAGGGGGCAAGCGUUAUCCGGAAUUACUGGGUGGAAAGGGCGCGUAGACGGUGAUUCAAGUCUGGAGGGAAAGGCGAGGGACCAACCCCCGGACUGCUCUGGAAUCUUGGUAAUUUGAGUGCAGGAGAGGUAAGCGGAAUUCCUAGUGUAGCGGUGGAAUGCGUAGAUAUUAGGAGGAACACCAGUGGCGAAGGCGGCUUACUGGACUGUAACUGACGUUGAGGCUCGAAAGCGUGGGGAGCAAACAGGAUUAGAUACCCCAGUAGUC
RNAcentral lists this ribosomal RNA (443 nucleotides) under uncultured bacterium. Its description in RNAcentral is "partial 16S ribosomal RNA". It matches the Rfam family "Bacterial small subunit ribosomal RNA", at positions 338 to 795 of the family's 1533-position model. The record is from RNAcentral.